RNAcentral lists this ribosomal RNA (1202 nucleotides) under uncultured fungus. Its description in RNAcentral is "eukaryotic LSU rRNA". The stretch from base 533 to 1202 matches the Rfam family "Eukaryotic large subunit ribosomal RNA", at positions 1 to 649 of the family's 3401-position model. The record is from RNAcentral. Lineage: Eukaryota; Fungi.
AAGUCGUAACAAGGUUUCCGUAGGUGAACCUGCGGAAGGAUCAUUAUUGAAUGAACUUGGUGUGGUUGUUGCUGGCCCCUUGGGGCAUGUGCACAUCCCACCAUCCUCAUCUCUCCACCUGUGCACCUCUUGUAGACUUGGUCUACGUUUUUUCAUAUACCCCAUAGCAUGUAACAGAAUGUAUCAUAUUAGGCGCUUGUGCCUUAUAAACCUUAUACAACUUUCAGCAACGGAUCUCUUGGCUCUCGCAUCGAUGAAGAACGCAGCGAAAUGCGAUAGGUAAUGUGAAUUGCAGAAUUCAGUGAAUCAUCGAAUCUUUGAACGCACCUUGCGCUCCUUGGUAUUCCGAGGAGCAUGCCUGUUUGAGUGUCAUUAAAUUCUCAACCUUAUCGGUUGGAUGUGGGGGUUUGCUGGCUCAGGUCAGCUCCCCUUAAAUGCAUUAGCUGGUGCCCCGUGUGGACUGUCUAUUGGCGUGAUAAUUAUCUACGCCGUGGAUGAGCACUGCUUCCAACACCACAAUUACAUGACAAUUUGACCUCAAAUCAGGUAGGACUACCCGCUGAACUUAAGCAUAUCAAUAAGCGGAGGAAAAGAAACUAACAAGGAUUCCCCUAGUAACUGCGAGUGAAGCGGGAAAAGCUCAAAUUUAAAAUCUGGCGGUCUCUGGCCGUCCGAGUUGUAAUCUAGAGAAGCGUUAUCCGCGCUGGACCGUGUACAAGUCUCCUGGAAUGGAGCGUCAUAGAGGGUGAGANUCCCGUCUUUGACACGGACUGCCAGGGCUUCUGUGAUGCGCUCUCAAAGAGUCGAGUUGUUUGGGAAUGCAGCUCAAAAUGGGUGGUAAAUUCCAUCUAAAGCUAAAUAUUGGCGAGAGACCGAUAGCGAACAAGUACCGUGAGGGAAAGAUGAAAAGAACUUUGGAAAGAGAGUUAAACAGUACGUGAAAUUGCUGAAAGGGAAGCGCUUGAAGUCAGUCGCGUUGGCCGGGGAUCAACCCUUUGCUUUUGCUGGGCGUACUUUCCGGUCGACGGGUCAGCAUCAAUUUUGACCGUCGGAUAAGGUCCAGGGGAACGUAGCAUCUUCGGAUGUGUUAUAGCCCUUGGUCACAUACGACGAUUGGGAUUGAGGAACUCAGCACGCCGCAAGGCCGGGGUAAUACCCACGAUUUCGUGCUUAGGAUGCUGGCAUAAUGGCUUUAAUCGACC